Molecule: ribosomal RNA, 516 nt
Filed under: uncultured bacterium
Lineage: Bacteria
Description: bacterial SSU rRNA
Rfam family: Bacterial small subunit ribosomal RNA
Source: RNAcentral
GAUGAACGCUAGCGAUAGGCCUAACACAUGCAAGUCGAGGGGCAUCACAUGAAGUAGCAAUACGGAUGGUGGCGACCGGCGCACGGGUGAGUAACACGUAUGCAACCUGCCUUCAACAAGGGGAUAACCCGUUGAAAGACGGACUAAUACCCUAUAACACAGGGGUCCCGCAUGGGAAUAUUUGUUAAAGGACAACCGGUUGAAGAUGGGCAUGCGUUCCAUUAGCUAGUUGGCGGGGUAACGGCCCACCAAGGCAACGAUGGAUAGGGGAACUGAGAGGUUUAUCCCCCACACUGGUACUGAGACACGGACCAGACUCCUACGGGAGGCAGCAGUGAGGAAUAUUGGUCAAUGGACGCAAGUCUGAACCAGCCACGUCGCGUGAAGGAAGACGGCCCUACGGGUUGUAAACUUCUUUUAUACGGGAAUAAAGUGCCCCACGCGUGGGGUUUUGCAUGUACCGUAUGAAUAAGGAUCGGCUAACUCCGUGCCAGCAGCCCGGUAAGUACGCAGCGA